Octopus sinensis (East Asian common octopus) is the source of this 419-nucleotide long non-coding RNA. RefSeq lists it as uncharacterized. The record is from RefSeq and is a predicted model, not a curated record. NCBI's taxonomy places the organism in Eukaryota, Metazoa, Mollusca, Cephalopoda, Octopoda, Octopodidae. The transcript has 2 exons.
UUCAUCUACAAAUUCCACUCACAUGGCUUUGGUCAGCCCCCAAGGCUAAAGAAGACACUCAAGGUGCAAUGCAGUGGAGGUGAACUCAGAACCUCAUGGUUGGGAAGCAGGCUCCUUCCCACACAACUAGACAAGGGCCAUAAACAAACCAAUACUACUUGUCAAACAGUGGGGGGGGGAAGCUGACACAAAAAUAACCCCAUACACACACACACACACGUGUGCAAUCAUCAGUAAAAUAGAGUAGAUCUGCAGAAAUACAAUGUACAACUUCAGAAACCAAGGUUAAACAUAAAAGAUUUCAAUUUUAUUGGGAUUCAGGUUUUACCUAGUUUUGCUCAUACAAUGACUGCAGCUGAAUAGAGAGAGAAAAAAAAACAUUUUAAAAAAAAUCUGAUUCGUCUUUUCAAAGAAAAUGA